UGCCUGGCAUUUCUUCCUACCUCUAAAGA
RNAcentral lists this non-coding RNA (29 nucleotides) under Mus musculus (house mouse). Lineage: Eukaryota; Metazoa; Chordata; Mammalia; Rodentia; Muridae. The record is from RNAcentral.